CAGGCGGGAUUACCCGCUGAGUUUAA
Molecule: ribosomal RNA, 26 nt
Filed under: Cratylia sp. 'Naranjal'
Lineage: Eukaryota; Viridiplantae; Streptophyta; Magnoliopsida; Fabales; Fabaceae
Also listed under: 1 other name
Description: partial large subunit ribosomal RNA
Source: RNAcentral